UACGAAGGGGGCUAGCGUUGCUCGGAAUCACUGGGCGUAAAGGGUGCGUAGGCGGGUCUUUAAGUCAGGGGUGAAAUCCUGGAGCUCAACUCCAGAACUGCCUUUGAUACUGAGGAUCUUGAGUACGGGAGAGGUGAGUGGAACUGCGAGUGUAGAGGUGAAAUUCGUAGAUAUUCGCAAGAACACCAGUGGCGAAGGCGGCUCACUGGCCCGUAACUGACGCUGAGGCACGAAAGCGUGGGGAGCAAACAAG
This 253-nucleotide ribosomal RNA is filed under the name uncultured bacterium. RNAcentral describes it as "partial 16S ribosomal RNA". It matches the Rfam family "Bacterial small subunit ribosomal RNA", at positions 524 to 776 of the family's 1533-position model. The record is from RNAcentral.